This 311-nucleotide unclassified non-coding RNA is filed under the name uncultured fungus. RNAcentral's name for it is "partial contains 5.8S ribosomal RNA, internal transcribed spacer 2, and large subunit ribosomal RNA". The stretch from base 1 to 52 matches the Rfam family "5.8S ribosomal RNA", at positions 103 to 154 of the family's 154-position model. Lineage: Eukaryota; Fungi. The record is from RNAcentral.
AACGCACAUUGCACCCUCUGGUAUUCCGGAGGGUAUGCCUGUUUGAGUAUCAUUAAUAUCUCAAAACAGACAGGUUAUUAUCUGUUCUGCUUGGAUGUUGAAGGCUUGCUGGUGUAAGACUGGCUCCUUUGAAAUGCAUUAGCCGAAACCAUGCAUUAAACUGGCUUCAGUAUGAUAAUGCUUUAUCUGUAUUACUGUCGCCUGUGAAUAAGCAAAUCUGUUUCAGCUUCUAAUUGCCUUGUGGGCUGUCUCUUUUGAGGCAUACUUUGAUACUUGAUCUCAAAUCAGGUAGGACUACCCGCUGAACUUAA